CCCUUAGAUGUUCUGGGCCGCACGCGCGCUACACUGACGAAGUCAGCGAGCAUGUCCUACGCCGAUAGGUGCGGGGAAUCUUGUGAAACUUCGUCGUGCUAGGGAUUGAUUAUUGAAAUUAUUGAUCAUCAACGAGGAAUUCCUAGUAAGCGCAAGUCAGCAGCUUGCGUUGAUUACGUCCCUGCCCUUUGUACACACCGCCCGUCGCUACUACCGAUUGAAUGGUUUAGUGAGAUCUUCGGAUUGGUGCCACCGAGUCCAGCAAUGGACACGGUGAAUAUCGAAAAGUCGAUCAAACUUGAUCAUUUAGAGGAAGUAAAAGUCGUAACA
Molecule: ribosomal RNA, 330 nt
Filed under: uncultured eukaryote
Lineage: Eukaryota
Description: partial 18S ribosomal RNA
Rfam family: Eukaryotic small subunit ribosomal RNA
Source: RNAcentral